GACGAACGCUGGCGGCGUGCCUAAUACAUGCAAGUCGAGCGGACGGAUGGGAGCUUGCUCCCAGACCGUCAGCGGCGGACGGGUGAGUAACACGUGGGCAACCUGCCUGUAAGACUGGGAUAACUCCGGGAAACCGGGGCUAAUACCGGAUAACUCUUUCCCUCACAUGAGGGAAAGCUGAAAGAUGGCAUCUCGCUAUCACUUACAGAUGGUCCCGCGGCGCAUUAGCUAGUUGGUGAGGUAACGGCUCACCAAGGCGACGAUGCGUAGCCGACCUGAGAGGGUGAUCGGCCACACUGGGACUGAGACACGGACCAGACGCCUACGGGAGGCAGCAGUAGGGAAUCUUCCGCAAUGGACGAAAGUCUGACGGAGCAACGCCGCGUGAGUGAUGAAGGUUUUCGGAUCGUAAAACUCUGUUGUCAGGGAAGAACAAGUACCGGAGUAACUGCCGGUACAUUGACGGUACCUGAACAGAAAGCCACGGCUAACUACGUG
This 498-nucleotide ribosomal RNA is filed under the name uncultured bacterium. Its description in RNAcentral is "partial 16S ribosomal RNA". It matches the Rfam family "Bacterial small subunit ribosomal RNA", at positions 28 to 507 of the family's 1533-position model. The record is from RNAcentral.